Molecule: long non-coding RNA, 597 nt
Organism: Bubalus bubalis (water buffalo)
Lineage: Eukaryota; Metazoa; Chordata; Mammalia; Artiodactyla; Bovidae
Exons: 4
Source: RefSeq, a predicted model, not a curated record
CAGAAGCAGAAGGUAUAACCACCACAGAGCAAAGGAAAACAGGUGGCGAGAGCCCUCAACAGACAGGCUAGAACCAGGAGUUCCACAGAGAUUGAAGAGACAGGACAAAGCAGAAGGACUCAUAAUGCACCUGCUGGGCUUCCAGAUACAAGACCACAAGCCCAAAUUUCAGCCUGCCAACUUCUGCAAGAAAGGAGAAAGGAAGUUGUGAUUAUCUCUAAUCAUCUGUACUUAUAAUAGCCAGAUGGCCAUAAUUCAGCAAAAAAACAACAGCUCUCUCUCUUUUCCGUCAUUCUUUGAGAAACUGUGAGCUAGAUAGAGACAUAAGCUUGACUCAUGGCUACCUCACUCCAGCCUCUGCAUCUCUUCCAACCAGCUGGCCUCAUGCUUACAAGGACCCUCGUGAUUACAUUGUGCACAUCCAGACAAUCCGGGAUAAUCUCUUUGUCUCAAAGUCAUUGACUUCGUCACAUCUGCAAAUUCUCUUCCCCAUAUAAAAUGCCCCUCCAGGAAAGGUUGGAGUCCAUGGCAAUUCCAAACUUCCCCCUUCCUCAUUGAAUGCAGAUUGAAUAAUAAACUGAGCAAAGUUAAACCAGA